This 408-nucleotide ribosomal RNA is filed under the name uncultured bacterium. Its description in RNAcentral is "partial 16S ribosomal RNA". It matches the Rfam family "Bacterial small subunit ribosomal RNA", at positions 28 to 526 of the family's 1533-position model. The record is from RNAcentral.
GACGAACGCUGGCGGCGUGCUUAACACAUGCAAGUCGAACGAAGUGGCGACCGGGUGAGUAACGCGUAAUCAACCUGCCCUUCAGAGGGGGACAACAGUUGGAAACGACUGAUAAUACCGCAUACUGAAGGAGGGGAUUGCGUCUGAUUAGCUAGUUGGCGGGGUCACGACCCACCAAGGCGAUGAUCAGUAGCAGGUCGGAGAGGAUGAACGGCCACAUUGGGACUGAGACACGGCCCAGACUCCUAAGGGAGGCAGCAGUGGGGAAUCGUCCGCAAUGGACGAAAGUCUGACGGAGCAACGCAGCGGGAGGGAUGACGGCCUUCGGGUUGUAAAGCUCUGUUAAUCGGGACGCGGUACCGGAAUAGAAAGCCACGGCUAACUACGUGCCAGCAGCCGCGGUAAUUC